AGGGGAGUGGAGCAUGAGAAAAGUAACACUAUUGCAAGAUAACUACAUCAGACAAGAUCUUCAAACAGGGAGGAACUUUCUCCUGGAAAGAAUUUGGGCUGUCUACUUUGAGAGUUCUCGCAGACAAAGCUUCACAAGCCCCUUCAGAUCUUCCGUCAUGGACAACUUGCACUCCUCUCCCAUUGGUUACUUCAGAUGUCCA
Eubalaena glacialis (North Atlantic right whale) is the source of this 202-nucleotide long non-coding RNA. RefSeq lists it as uncharacterized. The transcript is spliced from 3 exons. The record is from RefSeq and is a predicted model, not a curated record. Lineage: Eukaryota; Metazoa; Chordata; Mammalia; Artiodactyla; Balaenidae.